Molecule: unclassified non-coding RNA, 244 nt
Filed under: Hevea brasiliensis (rubber tree)
Lineage: Eukaryota; Viridiplantae; Streptophyta; Magnoliopsida; Malpighiales; Euphorbiaceae
Source: RNAcentral
GUUCUUGUUCUGGUAAACGACAAUUAAAAACUGGAUUCCCUGGAGAAACGGAAGCUUUUUAUAUCUGCUGACUGAAAAGAUGGUCGCUUCAUUGUACUGUUUCCUGAGAAGAAGAAGAAGAAAGUAGGCUUCUUGGAGGCCGAGAGAUUGCACUACUCGAGAAAUUCAAUCAAGAAUGAAAAUUAACGCAAAUGGGUAUUACAAGAAAAGCUGGUUUUCGUUUCCGAGAGAGAGAGAGAGAGAG